This 336-nucleotide ribosomal RNA is filed under the name uncultured Nitrospira sp. Its description in RNAcentral is "bacterial SSU rRNA". It matches the Rfam family "Bacterial small subunit ribosomal RNA", at positions 335 to 672 of the family's 1533-position model. Lineage: Bacteria; Pseudomonadati; Nitrospirota; Nitrospiria; Nitrospirales; Nitrospiraceae. The record is from RNAcentral.
ACUCCUACGGGAGGCAGCAGUAAGGAAUAUUGCGCAAUGGGCGAAAGCCUGACGCAGCGACGCCGCGUGGGGGAUGAAGGUCUUCGGAUUGUAAACCCCUUUCAGGAGGGAAGAUGGAGCGAGCAAUCGUUCGGACGGUACCUCCAGAAGCAGCCACGGCCAACUUCGUGCCAGCAGCCGCGGUAAUACGAAGGUGGCAAGCGUUGUUCGGAUUCACUGGGCGUACAGGGUGUGUAGGCGGUUUGGUAAGCCUUCUGUUAAAGCUUCGGGCCCAACCCGGAAAGCGCAGAGGGUAUCUNCCAGGCUAGAGGGUGGGAGAGGAGCACGGAAUUCCCG